CGGAGAGUUUGAUUCUGGCUCAGAACGAACGCUGGCAGCGUGGAUGAGGCAUGCAAGUCGAACGGUCGUGUGCUGGUAGCAAUAUUGGUGCACGAUAGUGGCGGAAGGGCGAGUAAUGCGAGAGCAAGCUACCCCUCGAUUCGGAACAACGGCUGGAAACGGCCGCUAAUGCCGGAUACGAACGCGAAGCCGCAUGGUUUUGCGUUGAAAGGCCGGGACCCGCAAGGGCCGGUCGUCGAAGGAGGCGCUCCCGUGCCAUCGGCUAGUUGGCGAGGUAACGGCUCACCAAGGCGUACGGCUAGGUGGACUGAGAGGUUGGUCACCCGCACUGGGACUGAGACACUGCCCAGACUCCUACGGGAGGCUGCAGUCGAGGAUCAUUUGCAAUGGGCGAAAGCCUGACAAUGCGACGCUGCGUGCAGGAUGAAGGCCUUCGGGUUGUAAACUGCUGUUGGGAGGGAAAAGGACGCGGGGCCCAACAAGCCCUGCCGUUUGAUUGUACUUCCAGAGAAAGUCGCGGCUAACUCUGUGCCAGCAGCCGCGGUAAUACAGAGGCGACGAGCGUUGUUCGGAUUUACUGGGCGUAAAGCGUGCGCAGGCGGUGGACCAUGUCCGACGUGAAAUCCCGGGGCUCAGCUCCGGAAGUGCGUCGGAAACCGGUCCGCUGGAGACCGGGAAGGGAGUCUGGAACACACGGUGUAGCGGUGAAAUGCGUUGAUAUCGUGUGGAACACCGGAAGCGAAGGCGAGACUCUGGAACGGAUCUGACGCUCAUGCACGAAAGCGUGGGGAGCAAACAGGAUUAGAUACCCUGGUAGUCCACGCCGUAAACGGUGCGCAUUCGCCGUGGGGGGAAUUGACCCCCCCCGUGGCUUAGCCAACGCGAUAAAUGCGCCGCCUGGGGAGUACGGCCGCAAGGUUAAAACUCAAAGAAAUUGACGGGGGCCCGCACAAGCGGAGGAGCAUGUGGCUUAAUUCGAUGCAACGCGAAGAACCUUACCCAGGCUUGACAUGCAGCUGCAAGUCCUAUGAAAGUAGGACGCCUUCGAGGGUGCUGCACAGGUGCUGCAUGGCUGUCGUCAGUUCGUGCCGUGAGGUGUUUGGUUAAGUCCACCAACGAACGCAACCCCUGCGUCCAGUUGCCAUCGGUUCGGCCGGGCACUCUGGAGGGACUGCUCGUUCACACGAGAGGAAGGUGGGGAUGACGUCAAGUCAGUAUGGCCCUUACGCCUGGGGCCGCACACGUGCUACAAUGGCCGGUACAGAGGGACGCGAGACCGCGAGGUGGAGCAAACCCCAGAGAGCCGGCCCCAGUUCGGAUUGGAGUCUGCAACCCGACUCCAUGAAGUUGGAUUCGCUAGUAACGGCGCAUCAGCAGUUGGUGCCGUGAAUACGUUCCCGGGCCUUGUACACACCGCCCGUCACAUCAUGAAAGCCGUCUGCACCCGAAGCCGGUGGCCCAUCCGCAAGGGGGGAGCCGUCUAAGGUGUGGGUGGUGAUUGGGAUGAAGUCGUAACAAGGUAACCGUAGGGGAACCUGCGGUUGGAUCACCUCCUU
RNAcentral lists this ribosomal RNA (1556 nucleotides) under bovine gut metagenome. RNAcentral's name for it is "Bacterial small subunit ribosomal RNA". It matches the Rfam family "Bacterial small subunit ribosomal RNA". The record is from RNAcentral.